This 248-nucleotide unclassified non-coding RNA is filed under the name Hevea brasiliensis (rubber tree). The record is from RNAcentral. Lineage: Eukaryota; Viridiplantae; Streptophyta; Magnoliopsida; Malpighiales; Euphorbiaceae.
AAAACUAGAGUCGUUCCAUUUAGACGUCAGGACAAGUGAAUCGUUGAUCUCGUUUCCACCUAGCACUGGAGCUUUGUACGAAUCGUCGAUGGAGCAAAGAAAAAGACACCAAAAUAGUACUGGGUACCUGUAAGCGUCUCUCGCAUGAAGAUGAACGCAUAUAGGAGGGUGUUUUAGUAUUGUUGCAUUUCUGAGUAAAUCACGAAGAAGAUGAACAGGGUCAGGUCAUCUGGGUGUUUCUGUAUGCG